GACGAACGCUGGCGGCGUGCCUAAUACAUGCAAGUCGAGCGAAGUUUCUCUGGUGCUUGCACUAGAAAAACUUAGCGGCGAACGGGUGAGUAACACGUAAAGAACCUGCCUCAUAGACUGGGACAACUAUUGGAAACGAUAGCUAAUACCGGAUAACAGCAUUAACUGCAUGGUUGAUGUUUAAAAGUUGGUUUUGCUAACACUAUGAGAUGGCUUUGCGGUGCAUUAGCUAGUUGGUGGGGUAAAGGCCUACCAAGGCGACGAUGCAUAGCCGACCUGAGAGGGUGAUCGGCCACACUGGGACUGAGACACGGCCCAGACUCCUACGGGAGGCAGCAGUAGGGAAUCUUCCGCAAUGGGCGAAAGCCUGACGGAGCAACGCCGCGUGAGUGAAGAAGGAUUUCGGUUCGUAAAGCUCUGUUGUUAGGGAAGAAUGAUUGUGUAGUAACUAUACACAGUAGAGACG
RNAcentral lists this ribosomal RNA (466 nucleotides) under Gemella haemolysans. RNAcentral describes it as "bacterial SSU rRNA". It matches the Rfam family "Bacterial small subunit ribosomal RNA", at positions 28 to 474 of the family's 1533-position model. The record is from RNAcentral. Lineage: Bacteria; Bacillati; Bacillota; Bacilli; Caryophanales; Gemellaceae.